GAUUCAGUGGUGUAGUGGUAUCACGGGCGCUUGCCAUUAUCUUUGAUGAUUUGCGCCCGACCCGGGUUCGAUUCCCGGCUGAUUCA
RNAcentral lists this transfer RNA (86 nucleotides) under Morchella conica CCBAS932. RNAcentral describes it as "tRNA-Gly". It matches the Rfam family "tRNA". From Rfam's summary of the family: Transfer RNA (tRNA) molecules are approximately 80 nucleotides in length. Their secondary structure includes four short double-helical elements and three loops (D, anti-codon, and T loops). Further hydrogen bonds mediate the characteristic L-shaped molecular structure. tRNAs have two regions of fundamental functional importance: the anti-codon, which is responsible for specific mRNA codon recognition, and the 3' end, to which the tRNAs corresponding amino acid is attached (by aminoacyl-tRNA synthetases). tRNAs cope with the degeneracy of the genetic code in two manners: having more than one tRNA (with a specific anti-codon) for a particular amino acid; and 'wobble' base-pairing, i.e. permitting non-standard base-pairing at the 3rd anti-codon position. Lineage: Eukaryota; Fungi; Ascomycota; Pezizomycetes; Pezizales; Morchellaceae. The record is from RNAcentral.